AUUGAACGCUGGCGGAAUGCUUUACACACGCAAGUCGAACGGCAGCACGGACUUCGGUCUGGUGGCGAGUGGCGAACGGGUGAGUAAUGUAUCGGAACGUGCCCAGUCGUGGGGGAUAACGUAGUGAAAAUUACGCUAAUACCGCAUACGAUCUAUGGAUGAAAGCGGGGGAUCGCAUGACCUCGCCCGAUUGGAGCGGCCGAUAUCAGAUUAGGUAGUUGGUGGGGUAAAGGCCCACCAAGCCAACGAUCUGUAGCUGGUCUGAGAGGACGACCAGCCACACUGGAACUGAGACACGGUCCAGACUCCUACGGGAGGCAGCAGUGGGGAAUUUUGGACAAUGGGCGAAAGCCUGAUCCAGCCAUUCCGCGUGCAGGAUGAAGGCCCUCGGGUUGUAAACUGCUUUUGUACAGAACGAAAAGGUUUCUACUAAUACUAGGAGCUCAUGACGGUGCUGUAAGAAUAAGCACCGGCUAACUACGUGCCAGCCGCCGCAGUAA
Molecule: ribosomal RNA, 500 nt
Filed under: uncultured bacterium
Lineage: Bacteria
Description: partial 16S ribosomal RNA
Rfam family: Bacterial small subunit ribosomal RNA
Source: RNAcentral